RNAcentral lists this RNase P RNA (393 nucleotides) under Poseidonocella pacifica. RNAcentral describes it as "alpha proteobacterium KMM 9010 Bacterial RNase P class A". It matches the Rfam family "Bacterial RNase P class A". From Rfam's summary of the family: Ribonuclease P (RNase P) is a ubiquitous endoribonuclease, found in archaea, bacteria and eukarya as well as chloroplasts and mitochondria. Its best characterised activity is the generation of mature 5'-ends of tRNAs by cleaving the 5'-leader elements of precursor-tRNAs. Cellular RNase Ps are ribonucleoproteins. Lineage: Bacteria; Pseudomonadati; Pseudomonadota; Alphaproteobacteria; Rhodobacterales; Roseobacteraceae. The record is from Rfam by way of RNAcentral.
GCGGAAGGGCGGAUGGCUGCGGCGCGUAUGCGUCGAGGAAAGUCCGGACUCCACAAGGCAACGGUGCCGGGUAACGCCCGGCGGGGGCAACCCCAGGGAAAGCGCCACAGAGAAUGAGACCACCGUGCAUGCACGGCAAGGCUGAAACGGUGGGGUAAGAGCCCACCGCGGGACGGGUAACCGGACCGGCACGGCAAGCCCCACCGGGAGCAAUGCCGAAUAGGGAUCGCACGCGGGAUGGUCGGUUCGCCGAAACCUCCGCAGGGCCGGCCUUGGCCCGGCGAUCCGGGUUGGCAGCUUGAGCCUCUUCGGUAACGAAGGGGCCAGAGGAAUGGUCAUCCAUGGGGGUUUCGACCCCCGGGACAGAAUCCGGCUUACAGCCCUUCCGCGCGU